GACGAACGCUGGCGGCGUGCUUAACACAUGCAAGUCGAACGACGUGGCGCACGGGUGAGUAACGCGUAAUCAAACUGCCCUUCACAGGUGGAACACAGUUGGAAACGACUGCUAAUACCGCAUACUGAAGGAGGGGAUUGCGUCUGAUUAGCUAGUUGGAGGGGUAACGGCCCACCAAGGCGAUGAUCAGUAGCCGGUCUGAGAGGAGGACCGGCCACAUUGGGACUGAGACACGGCCCAGACUCCUACGGGAGGCAGCAGUGGGGAAUCUGCCGCAAUGGACGAAAGUCUGACGGAGCAACGCCGCGUGAGUGAUGACGGCCUUCGGGUUGUAAAGCUCUGUUAAUCGGGACGCGGUACCGGAAUAGAAAGCCACGGCUAACUACGUGCCAGCAGCCGCGGUAAUUC
Molecule: ribosomal RNA, 408 nt
Filed under: uncultured bacterium
Lineage: Bacteria
Description: partial 16S ribosomal RNA
Rfam family: Bacterial small subunit ribosomal RNA
Source: RNAcentral